RNAcentral lists this ribosomal RNA (630 nucleotides) under Salmonella enterica subsp. enterica serovar Heidelberg. Its description in RNAcentral is "partial 23S ribosomal RNA". It matches the Rfam family "Bacterial large subunit ribosomal RNA", at positions 1154 to 1757 of the family's 2925-position model. RNAcentral also lists the same sequence under 3 other names. Lineage: Bacteria; Pseudomonadati; Pseudomonadota; Gammaproteobacteria; Enterobacterales; Enterobacteriaceae. The record is from RNAcentral.
CGUAUCACCCAAGACAACUUUACGGAGUUGACGAUUGACGGAGCGAAGCGACGUCAAAGCGUUCAUUAAAGUCGAGUUGGCUUAGGGAUACGUUCGUUGGGUAGGGGAGCGUUCUGUAAGCCUGUGAAGGUGUGUCGUGAGGCAUGCUGGAGGUAUCAGAAGUGCGAAUGCUGACAUAAGUAACGAUAAAGCGGGUGAAAAGCCCGCUCGCCGGAAGACCAAGGGUUCCUGUCCAACGUUAAUCGGGGCAGGGUGAGUCGACCCCUAAGGCGAGGCCGAAAGGCGUAGUCGAUGGGAAACGGGUUAAUAUUCCCGUACUUGGUGUUACUGCGAAGGGGGGACGGAGAAGGCUAUGUUGGCCGGGCGACGGUUGUCCCGGUUUAAGCGUGUAGGUGUGUGUUCCAGGUAAAUCCGGUUCACUUUAACACUGAGGCGUGACGACGAGGCACUACGGUGCUGAAGCAACAAAUGCCCUGCUUCCAGGAAAAGCCUCUAAGCAUCAGGUAACAUCAAAUCGUACCCCAAACCGACACAGGUGGUCAGGUAGAGAAUACCAAGGCGCUUGAGAGAACUCGGGUGAAGGAACUAGGCAAAAUGGUGCCGUAACUUCGGGAGAAGGCACGCUGACAC